GGAGUAUAGAUAAUUCUAUGUCGAUCGUUACACGACUUCGGUUCAUGUUAUUGUUUUAAUUCAUCGAAAAAAAGUAAAUAAAUAGUAAAAAGCUAUGAAAAAAAUAAUAUCAAUAUAAUAAAACAUUUAGUACAAAGAAAAUGCUCUAACGGAGUAUAGAUAAUUCUAUGUCGAUCGUUACACGACUUCGGUUCAUGUUAUUGUUUUAAUUCAUCGAAAAAAAGUAAAUAAAUAGUAAAAAGGUAUGAAAAAAAUAAUAAUAAUAU
Molecule: long non-coding RNA, 266 nt
Organism: Spodoptera frugiperda (fall armyworm)
Lineage: Eukaryota; Metazoa; Arthropoda; Insecta; Lepidoptera; Noctuidae
Exons: 2
Source: RefSeq, a predicted model, not a curated record